Molecule: ribosomal RNA, 253 nt
Filed under: uncultured bacterium
Lineage: Bacteria
Description: partial 16S ribosomal RNA
Rfam family: Bacterial small subunit ribosomal RNA
Source: RNAcentral
GACGAAGGUCCCGAGCGUUGUUCGGAAUUACUGGGCGUAAAGGGAGCGUAGGCGGCGCGGAAAGUCAGAUGUGAAAUCCCCGGGCUCACCCCGGGAACUGCAUCCGAUACUUCCGUGCUUGAGGACUGGAGGGGAGUGUGGAAUUCACGGUGUAGCAGUGAAAUGCGUGGAUAUCGUGAGGAACACUAGUGGCGAAGGCGACACUCUGGACAGAUCCUGACGCUGAGGCUCGAAGGCCAGGGGAGCGAAGGGG